UACGUAGGGUGCAAGCGUUGUUCGGAAUUACUGGGCGUAAAGGGCUCGUAGGUGGCCAACUAAGUCAGACGUGAAAUCCCUCGGCUUAACCGGGGAACUGCGUCUGAUACUGGAUGGCUUGAGUUCGGGAGAGGGAUGCGGAAUUCCUUGUGUAGCGGUGAAAUGCGUAGAGAUCAGGAAGAACACCGGUGGCGAAAGCGCUCUGCUAGGCCGCAACUGACACUCAUGGACGAAAGCUAGGGGAGCGAAUGGG
RNAcentral lists this ribosomal RNA (253 nucleotides) under uncultured bacterium. Its description in RNAcentral is "partial 16S ribosomal RNA". It matches the Rfam family "Bacterial small subunit ribosomal RNA", at positions 524 to 776 of the family's 1533-position model. The record is from RNAcentral.